CACGUAGGGCGCAAGCGUUGUCCGGAAUUAUUGGGCGUAAGGAGCUCGUAGGCGGUCUGUUGCGUCCGCUGUGAAAACUCGGGGCUUAACCCCGAGCCUGCUUCUGAUACGGGCAGACUAGAGGUAUGCAGGGGAGAACGGAAUUCCUGGUGUAGCGGUGAAAUGCGCAGAUAUCAGGAGGAACACCGGUGGCGAAGGCGGAUCUCUGGGCCUUGCCUGACGCUGAGGCGCGAAAGCUAGGGGAGCGAACAGG
Molecule: ribosomal RNA, 253 nt
Filed under: uncultured bacterium
Lineage: Bacteria
Description: partial 16S ribosomal RNA
Rfam family: Bacterial small subunit ribosomal RNA
Source: RNAcentral